RNAcentral lists this long non-coding RNA (1431 nucleotides) under Heterocephalus glaber (naked mole-rat). Its description in RNAcentral is "lncRNA (ENSHGLG00100033480.1)". The record is from RNAcentral. Lineage: Eukaryota; Metazoa; Chordata; Mammalia; Rodentia; Bathyergidae.
GUUGCACCAGCAUUGGUCAUCCUGGCCCCCACUUUCUCUCUCUUAGUUUUGUCUCUUAGUGUAUUCUUUUUCUCAGGACUGCAUUGUUCACUGGGCAGGUGGGUACUGGAUCCUGACUACAGGGGUCUCCGCCAAUUGGCACCCAUCAUGGGAGCUUGAACCAUGAGCAAUCACCUCCUCAGUGAGGCUACUCAGAACAAAAAGGAAAAAAGAAAAAGAAAGAAAAGAAGCCACAACACAGUGCACCUCGCAUCAAGGUCAAGGACAAGCACAAAAUCCUGGGGAAAAAAGAGAAUUAGAGUUGCUCAGAUUCAAUCAAAUCAUCUUACAUUUUCUUCUUGUCUGUCUGUGGUGAACUAUGGAAGACCAGUGGGAAGAAUGAGUUCUAAUUGGCCUCCUCGGCGAGCACUGCGAAGACAGAGGGCAAGCAAGCUGCUAACACGCUGCAGGGAGAGGUCACAGCACCCGAGGUGGAGUUGUUCCACCGGAGAAGCGCCAUGGAGCGCGGGAGACAGGUGGAUCCUGUGGAACCCUGAUUGCUUGUGCCGUGUCUGAGGGAAUGAAGCUGAGGUGCGCCAGUUACUCAAGGCUAUAUGUGGAAGGGAGACACGAGGCCCCUGGGCCCUCAGAUUUUAACCUGUUUCUGUGUCUCUUUUUUAUUUUUCAUCCUCGUCACCCCUUGGUCAGGCUCGAGCUCGUAGGCUGGUUCCUACAGCGAACCACUGCAUAACUAGUCACAGAGCGAGACCACCGAGCUACGCGUUUACCUUGCUCUUUGGAGGAACCUUAUGUAGGGACUAGGGGCACGGCAAACCCAUAACAUGCAACGCGCACCUGCUUCAAACACUCUUGAAUUAUUCCAAGGGCAUUUCUCUGUGCACCACGUUUCUUGUUGAAGCAAUGAUGUAAACCAGAUGUAAACCAGGGUGUUAUGGGUCUUGAGUUUAUUUUAUGUCCUGUAGGAAGGAAAGCAACUUCAACUAAAACCUAGUAAGAAGACAGGAAUUUCCUUUCAAAUGGAACAUUACUUGCAGGUGCUUUCUAGGAACUUUUGGUCCAAAAAUCCCGCAGGUAGCCACUAGAUGGCAGUAAGAGGCUUUGUUACAAUCUCCUGUGGCCUUAGCUUGGAAGCAUGCUGAAGAAACUUUCAAAAUGAUUUGUACCCGGGACUUCUGAGGUCCUCAAAGGCUUUGUAAAACUAUCUUUCUUUAUUAAAUUAUUAUUAACAUGUAUUAGUUAUAAAUAUUAAUGGAUUCAGCAAUAUUUCCAUACAUGCUGUAGCAUGCACUGAUCAAAUGCAGUCACACAACUUUCCCAAUCUCUAAUAAUCAUUAUUCUCCUUUCAGGACAACUUUUUUUGAUUUUCACAUAUGAAAAAGAACAAGCGGUACUUGUCUUUCUGUGUCUACUCAUUUCACCUAAUACCACGAC